This 460-nucleotide ribosomal RNA is filed under the name uncultured bacterium. RNAcentral describes it as "partial 16S ribosomal RNA". It matches the Rfam family "Bacterial small subunit ribosomal RNA", at positions 338 to 795 of the family's 1533-position model. The record is from RNAcentral.
CCUACGGGAGGCUGCAGUGAGGAAUAUUGGUCAAUGGACGAGAGUCUGAACCAGCCCAGUAGCGUGAAGGAUGACUGCCCUAUGGGUUGUAAACUUCUUUUAUAAAGGAAUAAAACGAGGCACGUGUGCCUUUUUGCAUGUACUUUAUGAAUAAGGAUCGGCUAACUCCGUGCCAGCAGCCGCGGUAAUACGGAGGAUCCGAGCGUUAUCCGGAUGUAUUGGGGUUAAAGGGAGCGUAGAUGGGUUGUUAAGUCAGUUGUGAAAGUUUGCGGCUCAACCGUAAAAUUGCAAUUGAUACUGGCAGUCUUGAGUACAGUUGAGGUAGGCGGAAUUCGUGGUGUAGCGGUGAAAUGCUUAGAUAUCACGAAGAACCCCGAUUGCGAAGGCAGCUUACUAAACUGUGACUGACAUUGAUGCUCGAAAGUGUGGGUAUCAAACAGGAUUAGAUACCCGGGUAGUC